This 223-nucleotide ribosomal RNA is filed under the name uncultured bacterium. Its description in RNAcentral is "partial 16S ribosomal RNA". It matches the Rfam family "Bacterial small subunit ribosomal RNA", at positions 111 to 334 of the family's 1533-position model. The record is from RNAcentral.
UAACACGUGAGCAAUCUGCCCUUGACUCUGGGAUAACUUCGGGAAACCGUGGCUAAUACCGGAUAUGACACAUGGCCGCAUGGUUUGUGUGUGGAAAGAUUUAUCGGUCAGGGAUGAGCUCGCGGCCUAUCAGCUUGUUGGUGGGGUAAUGGCCCACCAAGGCGACGACGGGUAGCCGGCCUGAGAGGGCGACCGGCCACACUGGGACUGAGACACGGCCCAG